UCCAGCCUUUAGAGGACCCAAACAAAACCAUGGCUCCCCUGUCUGUUACCCUGCAGCCGCUAUUAAGUCUGAAUCGGUUUCAACUAAAAUAAUUGCCCAUAUCCUGACAGAGGUUGUUCUGGGAGGAGACUGUGCUUACAUGUCUUUGUCUCUGGUUUGCACGCGGUUCGGGGACAUUGUAGGCACUCUUGAGUUUCAAGCAUGGGCUCACUUCUUAUGGCUUGACAGUGAGACAUUAUUUUUAUUUUGACAGUAAGACAACCAAUAAGAACAUGAAGUUAAUCUUGUACUGUGUAGUUGUUGCACAUUUUCCAUAGCAUGGGAAGUGGGUUGUGGAGAUGGCGUUAGGUGUUUAGUACAUCAACAUUAACUUUGUAUUUCUACACAGGUGUUAUCACAUUGAAUUUCUAUACAGAAAAAUACCGUUCAGAAUUCAGAACCAUGUGCAGCAUUUGCAACAUGCCUUACAAAGACUGCAAAUCGGGUUGGAGAUAGGAGAUGGGGAAUCCUGCGGGAUUUUAUUCUGAUUCCCAUCUAGGAUUCUGCAGCACAUUCUGUGCCCUGUGUGCCGAGUUCUAAAAAGACUAAUAAAGUGAUGUUUGUC
Esox lucius (northern pike) is the source of this 604-nucleotide long non-coding RNA. Lineage: Eukaryota; Metazoa; Chordata; Actinopteri; Esociformes; Esocidae. The record is from Ensembl.